Molecule: long non-coding RNA, 427 nt
Organism: Rhinichthys klamathensis goyatoka
Lineage: Eukaryota; Metazoa; Chordata; Actinopteri; Cypriniformes; Leuciscidae
Exons: 3
Source: RefSeq, a predicted model, not a curated record
GUGUGUGUGUGUUUGAGUUGAUGAAGCUGUUGUGUUGUGUUGUCAGGAGCUGAGCUGAGGUCAGCGCAGGAGAGAACGCCUGUGAACACUAGACCUGUCGCUCCUUACCCUGCUGUCAGAAAGUGUUUUGCGGAGAAAAGAAAACCGCUGAAAUGCAGAAAGGUGACGUUCAGUGACAUCGUGAGCGUCCGGAACCUGUCGAGCCACAAGCGAGUUCAGAUUGAGCGGCGGGAAAACCGGGAUCUUCCGGACGGAAGCGGAUCCUCAGAGAAUCCUGUGAGGUUCUUCGACUUUGCAGAUGCGUGUGAGAGAGAAGCCUUUCUCCACAGACGGAAACAAACACACUCGUUCAUGUUUCCCGCCAAACCGAUCGUGUCCAGCCGCUGCGGGCUCUGACCAGCAGAGGGCGCCGCUGUCGUCAUCAGAG